GAUGAAGAACGUAGCGAAAUGCGAUAAGUAAUGUGAAUUGCAGAAUUCAGUGAAUCAUCGAAUCUUUGAACGCACAUUGCGCCCCCUGGCAUUCCGGGGGGCAUGCCUGUUCGAGCGUCUCCAGGACGAAUCCUCGCGCGAGUGAACGCGCGGUCGUGCGGAGGUGGCGUGCCCGAGCAGGGCGGCCACCGCGCUGGAAUCCAUGGGCGGACGCCUGCCGCGUGGCCGAGCGUGAUACGACGCAUUGGCGCUCGUGCGCGGCGAGGCUGCCAGCCCUGGCCCGUCUGUCGGGCGGGGUAGGUCAACACGUGGGAACUCCUCGAAUCAGGUAGGGAUACCCGCUGAACUUAAGCAUAUCAAUAAGCGGAGGA
This 371-nucleotide unclassified non-coding RNA is filed under the name soil metagenome. RNAcentral's name for it is "partial contains 5.8S ribosomal RNA, internal transcribed spacer 2, and large subunit ribosomal RNA". The stretch from base 1 to 120 matches the Rfam family "5.8S ribosomal RNA", at positions 35 to 154 of the family's 154-position model. The record is from RNAcentral.